Molecule: transfer RNA, 69 nt
Filed under: Marmota marmota marmota (Alpine marmot)
Lineage: Eukaryota; Metazoa; Chordata; Mammalia; Rodentia; Sciuridae
Also listed under: 4 other names
Rfam family: tRNA
About the family: Transfer RNA (tRNA) molecules are approximately 80 nucleotides in length. Their secondary structure includes four short double-helical elements and three loops (D, anti-codon, and T loops).
Source: Rfam by way of RNAcentral
GGGGCUGUAGCUCAGUGGUAGAGCACUUGCCUAGCAUGUGUGAGGCACUGGGUUCAAUUCUCAGCACCA